AGAAUCAACGCUGGCGGCGUGCCUAACACAUGCAAGUCGAACGAGAAAGUGGAGCAAUCCAUGAGUAAAGUGGCGCACGGGUGAGUAACACGUGACUAACCUACCCUUGAGUGGGGGAUAACCUAGAGAAAUCUGGGCUAAUACCGCAUAAUACCUUCGGGUCAAAGGAGCAAUUCGCUUAAGGAGGGGGUCGCGGCCGAUUAGUUAGUUGGCGGGGUAAUGGCCCACCAAGACUGUGAUCGGUAUCCGGCCUGAGAGGGCGCACGGACACACUGGAACUGAAACACGGUCCAGACUCCUACGGGAGGCAGCAGUGGGGAAUUUUGCGCAAUGGGGGAAACCCUGACGCAGCAACGCCGCGUGGAGGAUGAAGCCCCUUGGGGCGUAAACUCCUUUCGAUCGGGAAGAUAAUGACGGUACCGAGAGAAGAACGCCCCGGCUAACUUCGUGCCAGCAGCCGC
RNAcentral lists this ribosomal RNA (461 nucleotides) under uncultured bacterium. RNAcentral describes it as "SSU rRNA". It matches the Rfam family "Bacterial small subunit ribosomal RNA", at positions 26 to 518 of the family's 1533-position model. The record is from RNAcentral.